This 117-nucleotide non-coding RNA is filed under the name Nomascus leucogenys (northern white-cheeked gibbon). The record is from Rfam by way of RNAcentral. Lineage: Eukaryota; Metazoa; Chordata; Mammalia; Primates; Hylobatidae.
GCUGGGUGUGGUGGCGCACACCUGUAUUCCCAGCAUUUUGGGAGGCUGAGGUGGGUGGAUUGCUUGAGACCAGGAGUUCGAGACCAGCCUGGGCAACACAGUGAAACCCCAUCUCUA